UACGAAGGGGGCUAGCGUUGCUCGGAAUCACUGGGCGUAAAGGGUGCGUAGGCGGGUCUUUAAGUCAGGGGUGAAAUCCCGGAGCUCAACUCCGGAACUGCCUUUGAAACUGCAGUGCUAGAAUCCUGGAGAGGCGAGUGGAAUUCCGAGUGUAGAGGUGAAAUUCGUAGAUAUUCGGAAGAACACCAGUGGCGAAGGCGACUCGCUGGACAGGUAUUGACGCUGAGGUGCGAAAGCGUGGGGAGCAAACAGG
RNAcentral lists this ribosomal RNA (253 nucleotides) under uncultured bacterium. RNAcentral describes it as "partial 16S ribosomal RNA". It matches the Rfam family "Bacterial small subunit ribosomal RNA", at positions 524 to 776 of the family's 1533-position model. The record is from RNAcentral.